Molecule: long non-coding RNA, 858 nt
Organism: Brienomyrus brachyistius
Lineage: Eukaryota; Metazoa; Chordata; Actinopteri; Osteoglossiformes; Mormyridae
Exons: 3
Source: RefSeq, a predicted model, not a curated record
UAUGCUCUAAGUCUACAGCGUAUCAGCCUAUGGUUAUCCACCAUUAUUAGUUGACACUGGUUCUUUGUAUAUUUCUAUUGUCUGUUUUGUUUUGUAUUGUGUAUUUCCUUAUGCUCAAUAAAAAAGAUAAAGGGGGAAAACACAAAAGCAGGUUUGCGGGGUCUAAUUCGACUUCGCUGAGAUUAUCGAAUGCACCGUCAAUAAAAUGCAUCUGGCCCUUCCAGCGGUCCUCCAAUUUGCAGGGAAAACAAAAACAUUGUAACGCCUGUGACUUGGGGCAAAGUCCGAGCUGUGAAGAAAAAAAGGAGUUAUAAUGAUGUACGCCUGUAUAUAAAAAAACAGAACCGGAACUUUGCUAACUGAAAAGAUAAGCGUCUUAUUUAUCACACCAAGUUUCCUUAUUGGUGUGCUGUACAAGUUUCUUAUUAAGUGGGCAAACAGAAACCAUCGACCAGGAACAGAAGACUGGCUCCUAUCAGAAGCACUGGAUUAUACUGAAGGUUAAUCUUCUCUUCUACCAAGUGUGACCAGGGGACAGCGGCCCACUGGGGGUCAUAGUGCUGGAGGGCUGCUCCGUCCGGCUAUGCGACUCGGAGGAGCCGUUUGUCUUUUCUGUGGUGUGUGGGGAGCUGGGGCAAUGGAACCAUAGGCUGGCCGUUGCAGAUGAGCCGACGCAGCGGAGCUGGGUUGAAGCGCUGCUGGCAGCCAGCCACUGCUUCUCGUCCAUGCUGGUGAGGGACCUGCAGUGGCAGUGUAAAGAUAUGGGAGGUAUAGCCUACACCUCUGAGACUCCGCAGCUCUACACUGGGUCUCAUCUAGAUGAAUCAGAGUUUACCUGCUCUCUGGGUUCCAAGCACA